CGCGCCGCCGCUCGCGCUGCCGGGGUCUCUCAGCGCGGGGGCGGCGCCGGCGGCUGCUCCCGGGGGUCCCGGCGGAGGCGGCUCCGGCCGUGUGGGGCGAGGAGGAGGCGGCCGAGCUCCCCACGGCUGAGCGCCGGGCGGCGAGCGAGCGCAGGAUGGGGGGCGCGUGGCCGGCGCACACGGGAAGGUGACAAAAGGAGUUGUGUUGGUGAUUUGUUGGGGGCCCUGUGGGCAGUGGUGGAAGCGGCCAGCGCCGGCGCCUCGGUUCUCUGCCUGUGUGAGAAGGGAGAUGCCAAGGUCACGGAAGAGACAGGCAAGAAAGGAAAGGAAAAAGAAAUGAAAACAGGUGAGACCCAUCCCCAAAGAGAUUGUUUCCUUUUCAUCCACUGUUGUGUUUCAGGCUCCCGUUGGGCAGCUGGUGUGAAUGGGCAAGGGCACAGAGAGCAGGGCUGUGCCUGGUGUAAGAAAUGCUUCAUUCUUCCCAGAAAGCCCAGUUUUAACCCAAAUCCUGCUGCUGAAGCGUCACUAAUGAGCUUCAGCUUCCCAGCUGGAUGCAUUCAGUCAUCCAGGGUGGGCAAGAAGGCCAAGGGCAUCCUGGCCUGGAUCAGGAACAGUGUUGUCAGCAGGAGCAGGGAGCUGAUCAUUGCCCUGGACUCGCCUUUGGUGAGGCUGCACCUCCAAUAGUGUGCUCAGUUCAGGGUCUCUCUCUACAAGAAGGACAUGGAGGUGCUGGAGAGGAUCCAGAAGCAGCUACCAAGCUAGGAAAGGAAUUGGAGCACGUCUCAGAUGAGGAAGGGCUGGGGGGACUGGGGCUGUUUAGCCUGGAGAAAAGAAGGCUCAGGGGAGACCUUCUCACUCUCUACAUCUACCUGAAAGGAAGCUGCAGCGAGGUGAGGGUCAGUCUGUUCUCCCUGAUAACAAGCAAUAGAAGAAGAGGAAAACAGCCUCAAGUUGUGCCAGGGGAGGGUCAGACUGGAUGUGAGGAGGAAUUUCUUUGCUGACAGGACUGUCAGGCCUUGGAACAGCUGCCCAGGGAGCUGCUGGAGUCACCGUCCCUGGAGGGGUUUCAGAGCCGGGUGGGUGUUGCACUGAGGGAAAUGGGCUGGUGGGUGAUGGGGCUGGGACAAAGGCUGCACUCCAAGAGCUGAAAGGUCUCUCCCAGCUGAAAUGAUCCUGUGACUGUGUGAUGCCUGUGAAGUGAUGUGGCUGUGUUGGGCUGUGUGGGGCUCUGCAGGGAAGGCCACGUCCAGCCGUGACUCUGGCAGCUGGAGACAGGGCCUGGCUGCCCCCCACAGAGUCACAGAAUGAUGGGGCUUGUCAGGAACCUUUAGAGAUCUUUCAGCCCAACCCCCUGCUAAAGCAGGUUCUGCUUGGUCAGGGGCACAGGAACGUGUGCAGGUGGGUUUGGAAACCUGCCGAGAAGGAGCCUCCACACCCUCCCUGGGCAGCCUGGGCCAGGGCUCCCUCACAUUAACAGGGAAAUAUGUUCCUUAUGUUUAAAUGGAAGCUCCUCCUAAAGCCCACAGGGGAUACUUGCAGCAGCUUUUCACAGAAGCCAGUGUUUGCCCAUGGGAUAGAAAGCAGGGGAAUCUGGGGUACUUGUGGCAGGUUCUCUCCCUUCCCUGCCCCUCUGGCCACGUGGCGGGAUGGAGCUCAACCCAGACGGCACUGCUGGGAAGCUGGAGCACGGCCUGGGCAGCAGCUUCCUUGAGGAGCAGCUCUUGAAGAAGAACUCCUACCCCUGGAGUUCCCCAACCAGCUGGCCCAGACCUCAGUCUUGCCACUGCUGGGGCUUUUGCUGUGUGUUUGUUUCCCUUCCAGGCUUCACUCCCCUGCUGUGUCUGCCUUUUCCUCCCUGCCCUCUUUUCCGCCUGGUUCUGUGUUCUUCCAUCCCCUCUGUGGGUUCAAGUCUGUUUCUGGUUUUAAUAAAGAUGUAUU
Colius striatus (speckled mousebird) is the source of this 1938-nucleotide long non-coding RNA. RefSeq lists it as uncharacterized. The transcript is spliced from 3 exons. The record is from RefSeq and is a predicted model, not a curated record. NCBI's taxonomy places the organism in Eukaryota, Metazoa, Chordata, Aves, Coliiformes, Coliidae.